RNAcentral lists this ribosomal RNA (499 nucleotides) under uncultured bacterium. Its description in RNAcentral is "partial small subunit ribosomal RNA". It matches the Rfam family "Bacterial small subunit ribosomal RNA", at positions 26 to 523 of the family's 1533-position model. The record is from RNAcentral.
AGGAUAAACGCUGGCGGCGUGCCUAACACAUGCAAGUCGAACGCCCUUUUUCCUCGCAAGAGGGGGGAGGGAGUGGCGGACGGGUGAGGAACACAUGGGUGACCUACCUUUCAGUGAGGAAUACCGGCGAGAAAUCGCCGACAAGACCGCAUGAGCUUCCCUCGGUAAGCGAGGGAAGGAAAGCUCUUUUCGUGCGAACGGAGGGGGGCGCUGGAAGAUGGGCCUGUGGCCGAUUAGCUAGUUGGUGAGGUAACGGCUCACCAAGGCGACGAUCGGUAGCUGGUCUGAGAGGACGAUCAGCCACACUGGGAUUGAGAACGGCCCAGACUCCUACGGGGGGCAGCAGUGAGGAAUUUUCCGCAAUGGGCGCAAGCCUGACGGAGCAACGCCGCGUGCAGGAAGACGGUUUUCGGAUCGUAAACUGCUUUUCUCGGGGACGAGAACGGACGGUACCCGAGGAAUCGAGCCCCGGCUAACUACGUGCCAGCAGCCGCGGUAA